Molecule: non-coding RNA, 78 nt
Organism: Podarcis lilfordi (Lilford's wall lizard)
Lineage: Eukaryota; Metazoa; Chordata; Lepidosauria; Squamata; Lacertidae
Source: the annotation of a GenBank genome assembly
GUGUUCUCUGUGGUGCUAUUGUGUCAGUGCAUCUGGCUGUUAACCAGAAGAUCGGUGGUUCGAGCCCACCCAGGCGUG